RNAcentral lists this ribosomal RNA (287 nucleotides) under uncultured prokaryote. Its description in RNAcentral is "partial 16S ribosomal RNA". It matches the Rfam family "Bacterial small subunit ribosomal RNA", at positions 524 to 812 of the family's 1533-position model. The record is from RNAcentral.
GACGAACUGUUCUAACGUUAUUCGGAAUCACUGGGCUUAAAGGGCGCGUAGGCUGUUUGUUAAGCGGGGUCUGAAAUCCCUCGGCUCAACCGAGGAACUGGGCUUCGAACUGGCAGACUAGAGUGAAGUAGGGGUAAGCGGAACUUGCGGUGGAGCGGUGAAAUGCUUUGAUAUCGCAAGGAACACCGGCGGCGAAGGCGGCUUACUGGGCUUCAACUGACGCUUAAGCGCGAAAGCUAGGGUAGCGAACGGGAUUAGAUACCCGGGUAGGUCCCUGAGCGGGCUGG